RNAcentral lists this long non-coding RNA (908 nucleotides) under Theobroma cacao (cacao). RNAcentral's name for it is "long non-coding RNA (TCAC_LNC003870)". The record is from RNAcentral. Lineage: Eukaryota; Viridiplantae; Streptophyta; Magnoliopsida; Malvales; Malvaceae.
AAGAUUCACCAUUUAACUCAUUUCCAUAAAAUCACAAAAUCGGAUAAAAACUACUUUAGAUAAUUAAGAUGAUAGUAAGGUUACUCACUGUACUGGGAGUUUGAUAUAUUCCUAUUCCCGGUCUUCGGGCACAAUCUCUUUACCCUUGUUAAAGGGCUCCCCACCUAUACAUCAUACGUGACACGAAUUUCAAUAAAUUGUGUCAAUUUAUCAUAAACUAUUUUAGGCUCUAUAAAUCUAUAUGAAUGCAUGAAAUGUGAUGCAAAAUGUCUGAAUAGCCAUUUAAAUACAGUAUUCGACCUAAUUCGUACUAUUCUCGGUGUAAAUGGGCUAAAACCUCCAAUUUAACUCCAAAUCUAUUUCUUUCACUUUCUACACUCCAAUUAUACUUAAAAUACCUCAAUGACUGUGAAUAUGAUUCAAUUUAUCAGUUCGAACCAUAAAUCACACAUGUCUACACAUUAGGUAAAAUCCGAAUUUUGAUGCCAAAAUUUCCCAUUAAAUUUUGAGCCUCGCCAAUCAUUAAAUACCACCAAAAUAUCAUGAAAUAUCAUCAAUUUCAACCUCAAUAUCCUCCCUAGAAAAUUCGGCCUCUUGUAGGUUUAUGAAGAACAAAGUGAUUCCUUGCUAGAUUUUCAUACUUUCCAUUACCAAACAACCAAAAACACUUAAUUAGCUUGAAAUCUAGCAAAAUCAAUGCUCAAAACCUCUCCUCUCAAAUUUGGCCAGCAUGGGUUCAUCAUGCAAACUUGAGUUCUAAGCAUGGAAAAUGAAAAAGAAAGCAUGGGUAGUGUAAAUCACAAGAUAAAAUCACAAAAUUUUACCUUUAUUAGCUUAAUCCCUUGAAAUCCCACACUUUCUCUUCAAUUUUCUGACCUAGGGUUUGUGUUCUUUCCUUUCCUCUUCAC